Molecule: unclassified non-coding RNA, 1062 nt
Filed under: Hevea brasiliensis (rubber tree)
Lineage: Eukaryota; Viridiplantae; Streptophyta; Magnoliopsida; Malpighiales; Euphorbiaceae
Source: RNAcentral
CAAUAAGGGUUUUUGAGGGGGUUUCAAUUGCAUCGUCACUUUCAUCAGUUAGGUUUUUCAUUUGCAGAGCCAGAUUCUUCAUUACACAGUGAAAUCAAGAUGAUGCGAUUAACAGAAAUUGCAAAAUCCAAACCCUUGACCUCAUCAAUCGAAACCCUAGGACACCAAUUCAUACAGAAAUGCUUCGUCAGUCGAACAGCAAAGGGAAAAGGUAAACUGAAAACAGGGCAGCCAUUGAAAAGAUCAAAAGUUACAACGAGGAAAGGCGCAGAAGUUGCGAAAAAAGAACCACCAAGGAGGAAAAGCGAAUUCGACGAAAUGGUUGAAGAUUGUUUGUCUUCUACAGCUCCAGUUAGAUCAUUGAAACCCAAAGAAAAAGCACGAGAAGCUGAAAGGGAGAGAAUGGGCUUAAUUAGCAAAGCCAAAGAUGAAGAGAUGAGAAAGAUAAACAAGGUGAAGAAGGAGUUUGCGAAUCCAUGGCCAAUUGGUCCACCGGGUUUGGAUUUGAUUUCACUUGGGCUUGUUGAUGUAGAGAAGCUUCCUAAGUAUGAAUUGACUGUUGAAGAUGGAAGGAGGCUGGCAAAGGAGAAUAGUAGGGUUUUAAUGCGCAAGCAUAGGCAGAGGCAGGCUGCUGAAACUACAUUGUUGAGGUUGAAGAAAGAGGCGAUUGAGGCAUUACCGGAGAAUUUGAAAGCUGCUGCAUUGGUUCCUGAUAUGACACCAUUUCCUGUGAAUCGAUUUAUGGCUACGUUGACGCCACCUAUUGAAGGUUAUCUUGAGAAGGUUAUGGAGGCAGCUAAGAAGAGUUCUGCAAAGGAGAAGCUUAGAUGAUUGGAGGAUGCAGUUGAAAGUUUUUCACAGAGAUAGCAAGGUUUGCUGGUGAUAUUGUGGCAUUAGGAAUCCAUUAUUUAGCAGCAAGAUGACACUGGAAAAGAAGAACUUGAAUAAGCCUUGUAACAAUUCACUUUGUUUUGGUUAAACUGGCUUUUUUUGCUUUUGUGGUAUGCCAUUUGUCGUUAUGCCACUAUAUGCUUAGUGUUCCUUUCACUAGGUUUGUGUUGG